AAAAUAUUUAGGGCAAUACUUAAGCUGUAUAUUCUUAUUUCUUUUGAAUUCUGAAUAUACUAUGAGCUGGUCUACAAAACAUUUAUGCUGAUCUUUCUUUGUAUUCAGAGUUUUGUAAGCAACAUUAAUUGUAAGACAAUCAACAGUAAAAUUUUCCUUUUUUAUGUAUAGUAUUCUACUGAAGAUGCCAUGUACAAAUUACAUCCUGCUAAAACAGCUUAUCUCUGUGCUAUUAAAAUGAAAACCUCUAUGAGGAAUCACUUAGACACCCACACCUUAUCUGUCCGCGUAGCCCCUCAUGUGCUGUGGGAUCCAACUUGCUGAACUCAUGAUUUGGGAGUGACCUCCCAAAAUAGAUAUCUAUCAUACGUAUCAUGAUUGACAACUGUGUAGCUAUAUUUGGAUAGAAUAACAAUAUCAUUGUGACCAUAACCAAAAGAGGUCAGAUGACAUAAAGACAUCAGUAAAUACUGCUGCAGGGGAAAAUGAAACAACUUCAACAUAUAUCUUUUCACAAUGAAAAUUUCCUCCUGACUGAAGAAGUUGCUGGUCAUUUUAUUUCAAUGUUCCCUUCUACCUCCCUCUUAACCACAGCAGAAGAGAUUAUUACGAGAAACAACUUCAGUUUUAUAUUUAACUAUAUUGUUACAUAGUUUCACUCACUAUAUUUAUUUUAUGUUGUGUAUUACACAUUCUUAUCUAUUAAUAUUAAUAAAUGGUAUUAAAUUA
Molecule: long non-coding RNA, 729 nt
Organism: Apodemus sylvaticus (European woodmouse)
Lineage: Eukaryota; Metazoa; Chordata; Mammalia; Rodentia; Muridae
Exons: 3
Source: RefSeq, a predicted model, not a curated record